Molecule: unclassified non-coding RNA, 308 nt
Filed under: plant metagenome
Description: partial contains 5.8S ribosomal RNA, internal transcribed spacer 2, and large subunit ribosomal RNA
Rfam family: 5.8S ribosomal RNA (bases 1-105)
Source: RNAcentral
GAAAUGCGAUAAGUAAUGUGAAUUGCAGAAUUCAGUGAAUCAUCGAAUCUUUGAACGCACAUUGCGCCCGCCAGUAUUCUGGCGGGCAUGCCUGUUCGAGCGUCAUUUCAACCAUCAAGCCCGGGGCUUGUGUUGGGGACCUGCGGCUGCCGCAGGCCCCGAAAACCAGUGGCGGGCUCGCUGUCACACCGGGCGUAGUAGAUUUUUCGUCUCGCCCAGGGCGUGCUGCGGGUUCCGGCCGUUAAAAAGCCUCUCUUUUAACCCAAGGUUGACCUCGGAUCAGGUAGGAAGACCCGCUGAACUUAAGC